UUUUUUCACACUCCUUCAAGAAAUAUUUGAUAAAAAUGCCUUAAGUAAAUCACAACAUAAAGGGGUUCUUACGUUAUUACAUAAGGGUGGUGAAAGAGAAAAUAUUAAAAAUUGGAGACCUCUUACAUUACUUAACACCGAUUAUAAAAUCAUAGCAAAACUUCUUGCAAUGAGACUGAAAAAAGUCUUACCGAAAAUAAUACAUCCAGAUCAAAAAGGAUUUGUUAAAGGAAGAAACAUUAGUG
RNAcentral lists this long non-coding RNA (245 nucleotides) under Mytilus galloprovincialis (Mediterranean mussel). The record is from RNAcentral. Lineage: Eukaryota; Metazoa; Mollusca; Bivalvia; Mytilida; Mytilidae.